Molecule: ribosomal RNA, 1209 nt
Filed under: Bacillus australimaris
Lineage: Bacteria; Bacillati; Bacillota; Bacilli; Caryophanales; Bacillaceae
Description: bacterial SSU rRNA
Rfam family: Bacterial small subunit ribosomal RNA
Source: RNAcentral
UUGAAUCCUGGCUCAGGACGAACGCUGGCGGCGUGCCUAAUACAUGCAAGUCGAGCGGACAGAAGGAGCUUGCUCCCGGAUGUUAGCGGCGGACGGGUGAGUAACACGUGGGUAACCUGCCUGUAAGACUGGGAUAACUCCGGGAAACCGGAGCUAAUACCGGAUAGUUCCUUGAACCGCAUGGUUCAAGGAUAAAGACGGUUUCGGCUGUCACUUACAGAUGGACCCGCGGCGCAUUAGCUAGUUGGUGGGGUAAUGGCUCACCAAGGCGACGAUGCGUAGCCGACCUGAGAGGGUGAUCGGCCACACUGGGACUGAGAACGGCCCAGACUCCUACGGGAGGCAGCAGUAGGGAAUCUUCCGCAAUGGACGAAAGUCUGACGGAGCAACGCCGCGUGAGUGAUGAAGGUUUUCGGAUCGUAAAGCUCUGUUGUUAGGGAAGAACAAUGCGAGAGUAACUGCUCGCACCUGACGGUACCUAACCAGAAAGCCACGGCUAACUACGUGCCAGCAGCCGCGGUAAUACGUAGGUGGCAAGCGUUGUCCGGAAUUAUUGGGCGUAAAGGGCUCGCAGCGGUUUCUUAAGUCUGAUGUGAAAGCCCCCGGCUCAACCGGGGAGGGUCAUUGGAAACUGGGAAACUUGAGUGCAGAAGAGGAGAGUGGAAUUCCACGUGUAGCGGUGAAAUGCGUAGAGAUGUGGAGAACACCAGUGGCGAAGGCGACUCUCUGGUCUGUAACUGACGCUGAGGAGCGAAAGCGUGGGGAGCGAACAGGAUUAGAUACCCUGGUAGUCCACGCCGUAAACGAUGAGUGCUAAGUGUUAGGGGGUCCGCCCCUUAGUGCUGCAGCUAACGCAUUAAGCACUCCGCCUGGGGAGUACGGUCGCAAGACUGAAACUCAAAGGAAUUGACGGGGGCCCGCACAAGCGGUGGAGCAUGUGGUUUAAUUCGAAGCACGCGAAGAACCUUACCAGGUCUUGACAUCCUCUGACAACCCUAGAGAUAGGGCUUUCCCUUCGGGGACAGAGUGACAGGUGGUGCAUGGUUGUCGUCAGCUCGUGUCGUGAGAUGUUGGGUUAAGUCCGCAACGAGCGCAACCCUUGAUCUUAGUUGCCAGCAUUCAGUUGGGCACUCUAAGGUGACUGCCGGUGACAAACCGGAGGAAGGUGGGGAUGACGUCAAAUCAUCAUGCCCCUUAUGACCUGGGCUA